Molecule: ribosomal RNA, 467 nt
Filed under: uncultured bacterium
Lineage: Bacteria
Description: partial 16S ribosomal RNA
Rfam family: Bacterial small subunit ribosomal RNA
Source: RNAcentral
GACGAACGCUGGCGGCGUGCUUAACACAUGCAAGUCGAACGGAAAGGCUCCAGCUUGCUGGAGUACUCGAGUGGCGAACGGGUGAGUAACACGUGGGUAAUCUGCCCUGCACUCUGGGAUAAGCCUGGGAACCUGGGUCUAAUACUGGAUAUGACCUUUCUCCUUAUGGGGUUUGGUGGAAAGUUUUUCGGUGUAGGAUGAGCCCGCGGCCUAUCAGCUUGUUGGUGGGGUGAUGGCCUACCAAGGCGACGACGGGUAGCCGGCCUGAGAGGGUGAUCGGACACAUUGGGACUGAGGUACGGCCCAGACUCCUACGGGAGGCAGCAGUGGGGAAUAUUGCACAAUGGGCGGAAGCAUGAUGCAGCGACGCCGCGUGAGGGAUGACGGCCUUCGGGUUGUAAACCUCUUUCAGCAGGGACGAAGCGUAAGUGACGGUACCUGCAGAAGAAGCACCGGCUAACUAUGUG